GCGGAUGUCGCCUAUUGGCUUGGCACCGGACCGCCAGUCCGGCGAACAGAGUUCGAUUCUCUGCAUCCGCUCCA
This 74-nucleotide transfer RNA is filed under the name Terriglobia bacterium. RNAcentral describes it as "tRNA-Gly". It matches the Rfam family "tRNA". Rfam says of the family: Transfer RNA (tRNA) molecules are approximately 80 nucleotides in length. The record is from RNAcentral. Lineage: Bacteria; Pseudomonadati; Acidobacteriota; Terriglobia.